RNAcentral lists this non-coding RNA (119 nucleotides) under Vigna angularis (adzuki bean). RNAcentral describes it as "Eukaryotic large subunit ribosomal RNA". It matches the Rfam family "Eukaryotic large subunit ribosomal RNA", at positions 2412 to 2528 of the family's 3401-position model. Lineage: Eukaryota; Viridiplantae; Streptophyta; Magnoliopsida; Fabales; Fabaceae. The record is from Rfam by way of RNAcentral.
CCUGUUGAGAUUGACUCUAGUCCGACUUUGUAAAAUGACUUGAGAGGUGUAGGAUAAGUGGGAGCUGGAAACAGCAAAAGUGAAAUACCACUACUUUUAACGUUAUUUUACUUAUUCCG